AAUUCCUCCGCUACUUGAUAUCUCAAGUGAAUUUUAACUUAGUUGUUCCUCAAUGCGAAUUGGGAAUAUCGAACUCGAACAUGCUUAAUCGCAUGAGUGUUGAAUUCCACAUCAGGCUCUUCAGUGGCAGAAUUCUCGUCUCCUUCUUGUUGACCCACAUGCUGACGACGCACUCGAUUCGAACUGUGUGCUCCGUUUGGAUUCUGUACUCAUCGAUCCAUGCUGAAGUAUUGGAGUGGGGCUCUGUCUAUAGAAUUGAGGUAAUCUGUUUAUAAAAAUUCAGUUGUCUUUGAAGGGAUGAUAUUGGCGAUAUCUUGGGUCCCUGGAGGGGCUUCGAAGGUGUCCCGAGGCGGCCGAACCGCCCACCAAGAAGGAAGUUGAAGAGAUUUUGAGGAGUAGAGUUCUCGAAGGAAGUGGAGAUAGUGAUGGCAAGGAGGAUGUAAAAACAUGGAUGCGGUUCCUUUAGAAAAGGCUGAUGAAGUUCUUACUGCAUUAUCUGCCGCUGCUGCACGUGGGAGAAGUUCCAAGACAACAAAAGUUCGAUCUGGUUUUGAGGAUAUAACUGAUGGUUUGACGGAGCUUGAAUUGAAUAAUUACGAUAGAGAUGAAGGCAUCGAUUAAGUACAAGGAGGGUAGUCAUAUGGAUUCAGUGCUUGGCCUUGCUUGGAACAAGGAGUUGAGUUUGUUGGAAACUGUUACUUUUCUCUUGGUCCUCGUAAUUUUGUAGUCUCUCUAUCCAAUUCCCAAUGCUUAAUGACAUCCCUGACUGCUAUGCAAAUGUUCAAACAGGAAUAUACACUAGUGCAAGCGCUGACUGGUAAGUCAAAAUUUGGGAUGUUGCAGCUGGAAAAUGCCAUAUUACCAUGGAACACCACACAGACAAGGCUAGAAUCAUCUCAUUUAAUGUUUAGUUUUAAUUCUUUUGGAUGAUAAACAUACAGCUUCUGUUCAUCUUAAGAUCCAGUCUGUUCCGACAGUUAAAUUUCUGGUUCAUCAGAAAGGACCUUUUGCAUGGUAUUGAUGAGGGUAAUUACAUGUUGGUAUUUCAUAGAAAGAACCACGGGUUGGGCAUGUUAAGUGUUGAGGAUUUGAUAUGUAGUUAUAAAUUAAGAAGAUGGGAAGUUUCCUUCUUUUGUCUUACAAGUUAUAU
Long non-coding RNA from Syzygium oleosum, 1150 nucleotides. RefSeq lists it as uncharacterized. NCBI's taxonomy places the organism in Eukaryota, Viridiplantae, Streptophyta, Magnoliopsida, Myrtales, Myrtaceae. The transcript has 3 exons. The record is from RefSeq and is a predicted model, not a curated record.